ACAGAUAAAAUCCUCACCCGUUCUAGUAAGCUUCUUUUUACAGACUAGUUUCCUUCUAGUCUGGGUCCAGCAAUCACUCACACCCCCUGUAGUUACUGUCCUUUGCUCCAGUCGGAGUAGUUAGUUCCCAUGGAGCUGGAUAGUAGAUUAAGCUAGACACGCUCAGUCUAACCCAAGCCCCUGUAUCUUCUGUAGCUCUGUGGGCUUAAAUACUGCAGCAGCGUCCCUGCAUUCUGGGCAGAUCAGAGACUAGAAUGUGAUUUGUGUGUGCUGGAGGACAGGACAGAUUAUUCCAUCACUGCCGACUGCCAGGUUCUUGUCCCUUCCCCGACACUUCUGAUGCUGGCCACUACCAAAGACGGGAUACUGGACCAUAUGGAUUUUGGCUCUGAGCCAGUCUGGCAAUUACUGUGUUCUGUUCUAAGGCAGAUCAAUGGAGACUAUAUGAAUGAAAUCUGAAGAUCAAUAAACCAGUCCUGUCACCCUGGGUUUGCUGAGAUUCCAUUCAAUUUCUUUGGUGCUUUCUCCAGCCCCCCAGUUUUACACUCACAUAGCAGCAUUGCGUUUGAAGUUGGCAGGCGGGGUGGGAGGUUUUGGCACAUGGCACACUGGAAAGGCAUGGCAGGGUUUGAUGCUGUGGGAGAAACUCAUUAGCUGGAUGCUUCUUGAAAUACUCCAUGAUGAAACUGCUGCUGUUUAACUUGCCACUCUUAAGUUUCAGAAUUAACAAUUCCUUGAGAUGAAUGAGGCAGGUUAUGGCUCUCUGCUUUCAUCUUGGGCUGUCUGCAGGCUCACAGCCAACACCAUUUACACACUUCUCACUUUCCUCCCAACUGUGGGGGUUACAUGCCCUUCAGUUGUUAAAGUUGCAAAUUUAAAUUCUAGAGCACAAUUUCACAGCAAUGGAGGAUGGGUGCAGGUUCUGUGGCUGGGUGUGGGUUCCAGGGUGGGUUCUGGUGCUGUGUGAGGACUCUGGGAUGGCUUCCAGGGCAGGUUCCAGGGCUGGGCAAGGGCUCCGGGGUCAGAUGAAGGUUCCAGAGCUGGGUCUGGGCUCUGGAAUGGGUUCUGGGGCCAGAUGAGGGCUCUGGGUGGGUUCUGGGGCUGGGUGAGAGCUCCAGGGCCUGUUCCAGAGCUGGGUGGGUUCCAGGGCCAGACAAGAGCUCUGGGGCAGGUUCCAGAGCUGGGUGAGGGCUCCAGGAUUGGGUGAAGGUUCCAGAGCUGGGUGUGGGCUCUGGAGCGGGUUCUGGGGUUGGACGAGGGCUCUGGGCAGGUUCUGGGGCUGGACGAGGGCUCCAGGGCCUGUUCCAGAGCCGGAUGAGGGCUCUGGGGUGGGUUUCAGGGCGGAUGAGGGCUCUGGGCAGAUUCUGGGGCUGGGUGAGGGUUCCAGGGCUGGGUGUGGGCUCUGGAGCGGGUUCUGGGGCUGGACGAGGGCUCUGGAGCGGGUUCUGGGGCUGGACGAGGGCUCCAGGGCCUGUUCCAGAGCCGGAUGAGGGCUCUGGGGUGGGUUUCAGGGCCGGA
Molecule: long non-coding RNA, 1518 nt
Organism: Dermochelys coriacea (leatherback sea turtle)
Lineage: Eukaryota; Metazoa; Chordata; Testudines; Dermochelyidae
Exons: 3
Source: RefSeq, a predicted model, not a curated record